CGCCACUUCCUCCAAGCGCGACCUUCUGCUUUGAAGAUCUGCGCAAGCGCAAGGUCUUCGAGAUUUUAACACUGGAGCAUAGAGGAGGUCAGUCUCUACUGACUGCUGAACAUCCAACACGUGACACCCAGGAGUUGUCUACCACCAUGUUUUGGACUAAGGGAAAAAAGCAGGUAAAGAGAGAGAUGUAAGUCCUGACCAUGUCAGAGUACCUGGAUCCAGCAUGUUCCUGAGUCCCAGCUGCAUUCCUGUCCUUGCAUUCUGAUUAUUAGUUUCCUAUUUGUGUUAGCCACUUGGAAUUGGGUUUCUAUUAUUUGUAAGGAAGAGUCCUAACAAUUCCAGAGAUGGACCAAUACUCUGUCAGAGGCCUUUCAGAUCUCACAUUCCAAGAGUUGAUGAAGGCUUCUCCCUCCCACUCAGGGCCACCUCUUUACCAUAUGUUACUUUUGUGAGAACUAGAAAAAGGUGCCCCUUCCUCAAGACACUUUAUGCCACAUGCUGGAAAAUUGUCACAAAAUACUGGUGUUCUGAGAACAGGGCACUCUAUUACAAGAAAAUUGGAUCUACCAUCUCCACUAUGUGAAUUCCACCCCUAGAGACAUGCAUUGUACAACUUACUCAUCCAGGUAAAACAGCCCUGUCAACUGUCCCUCAUUUCACCUUUGAACAUGCAGAUUGUAUAUUCCCUUUCAGAAUUCAGAAAAAUGCAACAUCAUGGAAGUUCCAGGAUGUCUGAAACCAGAGCACUGUAGCCACAAACAUCAGAACACAAACACACUGUUCUCCAGGAUGGCCUGCUUGGCCAGCCUCCCCCACCAUACUACUGCAGCCUCACCAGCCAGAGUCACUGAAAUUAAAGCCUGUAAGAAGCUGUCAGAUGAAAAAAUCUGUUUCUCCCUGUUGAGAGUUGAAUUGUAUUCCCCCCAAAUAGAUAUGUUCAAGUCCUAACCCCUGCUACCUGUAAAUGUGACCUUAUUUGGAAAUAGAGUCUUUGCAGAUGUAAUCAAGUUAAAAUGAGAUCAUACUGGAGUAGGUUGUCCCUAAAUCCAAUGAGUAGUGUCCUUAUAAGUGGAGAAGAAAAAAGAUACAGACACACAGGGGGAAUAUCAUGGGAAGAAAGAGGCAGAGAUUGGAGUGAUGCAGCUCCAAGCCAAGGAAUGCCAAGGAUUCUGGCAGCCACCAGAAGCCAGGAGAAGGCAUGGAACACAUUCUCCCUCUGAGCCCCAAGAAGGAGCCAGCCCUGCUGACACUUUGAUUUUGGACUCCCAGCCUCCAGAACUGUAAGAGAAUACAUUUCUCUUGUUUUAAGCCACUUAGUUUAUUGUGCUUUCUUGUGGCAGCCCUAGGAAGCUAAUACACUCCUUUGUUAAUACAGCAGAUCCUUGAAUAACAUCAUUUUGUGCAAGAUCGUUUCAUGAUAACAUUGAUGAGUCCAGGCAUGGUGGCUCAUGCCCGUAAUUCCAACACUCGGGGAGGCCAAGGCAGGAGGAUUGCUUGAGCCCAGGAGUUUG
This 1511-nucleotide long non-coding RNA is filed under the name Homo sapiens (human). RNAcentral's name for it is "HSALNT0106587". Lineage: Eukaryota; Metazoa; Chordata; Mammalia; Primates; Hominidae. The record is from RNAcentral.